AGCGAACGCUGGCGGCAGGCUUAACACAUGCAAGUCGAGCGGGCGUAGCAAUACGUCAGCGGCAGACGGGUGAGUAACGCGUGGGAACGUACCUUUUGGUUCGGAACAACCCAGGGAAACUUGGGCUAAUACCGGAUAAGCCCUUACGGGGAAAGAUUUAUCGCCGAAAGACCGGCCCGCGUCUGAUUAGCUAGUUGGUGAGGUAACGGCUCACCAAGGCGACGAUCAGUAGCUGGUCUGAGAGGANGAUCAGCCACAUUGGGACUGAGACACGGCCCAAACUCCUACGGGAGGCAGCAGUGGGGAAUAUUGGACAAUGGGCGCAAGCCUGAUCCAGCCAUGCCGCGUGAGUGAUGAAGGCCCUAGGGUUGUAAAGCUCUUUUGUGCGGGAAGAUAAUGACGGUACCGCAAGAAUAAGCCCCGGCUAACUUCGUGCCAGCCGCCGCCGUAAC
RNAcentral lists this ribosomal RNA (452 nucleotides) under uncultured bacterium. RNAcentral describes it as "bacterial SSU rRNA". It matches the Rfam family "Bacterial small subunit ribosomal RNA", at positions 29 to 524 of the family's 1533-position model. The record is from RNAcentral.